UACAAUAACAAAUUUUAUUCAUUAGUUAAAAGAAAAAUUAUUUCUCCCUUACACAUUGUUACCGCGUAGUGGGAAAAAAUUUUCCAAAAUACAGUUGGGACCGCGCAUCUUCAUAAGACAAUGUUGAUACCGUCGUUUUUCACGAUGCAAAGGCGUCGAACGCUGUUCGUGCGAUACACAGUGGGUCAAGGUGUGCCGUCACGGGGUAGAUAUCAGGGUAAAAUAGACUGACAGUAAUAGCGUACUUGGCGCGUCGAAAAUGGCCAUUAGAGUUAUCGCGAAAAUGCUCACAGAAGAGAAGCUCCAUAAAAGCCGUAGAGUUUCUGAAAGUUUCUUGGCGAAUGGCUGCAUGUAAAACGACAAGGCGGUGAACACGAAGUAGUUACACUUUGCAUAAUUCAAUGCACAAACGAACGAUAAUAUUAAUAGUCAAUAAGUAACUGGAGAUGUCUGACAAACGGGAUAGCUGAGCAGGACCAAUGAUGGGGAGUUAACAAAACAAAAAAAAAACAGAAAAACGGAAACGAGCCGAAGCAAAGCAGAAAUUGUUCGUAAAAUAUUUUUAAAAAAUUUUAUAUUUUUUUUUUUAAUAAAAAAGCUACAUAAUUUUCCCCCUUUUAAAUAUUGCGUUUUACGGGUAUCCGCGAAAUUUUUCGACGAGGCUAGCUUAUAUCUGGCUCCAUUGAAAUUCCAGAGGUACGAUCCCUCAAUAAUACUAAAGAUACGUGAAACCCGAUAAGGAGUCUCUCGUUCGAGAACUUCUCUACGCGAACCAUAAAAAUGGUGAUUCUAACCAGCCGAUUCCACGUGCGGACCCACCUAGACGACGAUGUACCAACCAGUUCCUGCAGCCAAGUCUUACAAAUAUCAAGGAAUGGCUAAUGUAAAUAGAGAGUCGGUAGCCAAAAGGGACUAUUUUUCCAAGAUAAUAAACAUGACUGGUAGCCUAUUCCGAUAACGACCGCGUAUCGGCAAUUUUUCAAAAGAAAUACCCCCUAAGCGUAUCUAAUCAAGGUCCAAAUCCACUCCCCAGGAAAAAUGCAUUGAAGUACCGAUGAUUCCACGAAAUUUCGAGUGGUCGAAUUGACAUAGAUAAAAACCAAGAAAAAUAAAUACACCGCCACAAAGAUAGAAAAAAAACCCUAUACCCUAUGUACACUUCUAUACAAAGAUACAAUAUUCAGAUACGACAAUUCAAAUCUAACGAAGUCCUUCCUUCCUUCCUUUCCUUAUACGGCUGUAUCCCCAAUGGGGGAUAUGUGCCAGUAACGUGGUCCUAAUAAUCAAGGUUGGAAGUUCGACAAUAGAUGGCGAUGUACCUUGCGAGAACGGGCCUUAUUCAACUCAGCGUGAGGGUACCUACAAAGUUUAUACACCCAAUCCGAACAGUGUUGGGCGAAAUCCUAAGUUUUCAUGUGAAAACCAUUGGUGAAUGCCGCUGGAAGCUGGGCGCGAACCCUCCAACCUUUCGGUCGUGAAUCCGCAACCCUAUCCACUGGGCUACGGCCGUCCCUUAAUCCUACGAAGUCAACGGUAAUACGUUUACUCGUUGCGCUAAGCAAGUAAAAUAAAGAAUACCUGGAACGACAGCGCAGUCAGUGAAGUGUUCGUCCGCGAUCGCAGCGCCACCCGACGGAUAAAGUCAGUACUAAAGCACAGUCCAUCUAGCAUACGUUUCCCAUACUAACCUCGACGAGAAGCUUAACGACUUUGUUUUCGGUAAUGGCGUCAGGUUUCGUGCGGUGGUCCUGGCGGGGCAUUAAAUUCCAUCGUGGGAAAACUAAUCCGUACGAGCCACGUAGAGGGCUAACCGAACUCGUUAGGAAAAGAUGGCUGGUCUAUCUCGGGCAUGGAGUUAUUAGUCCGGCGAGGAAGCCGAAACGACGUGGUAGAAGGAAGGAAGGAAGACACACGUAUAAAGCCGUCACGCUGGGAUUCCCGCGUAAGGAUUCCAACGACUGUCGGACAUCAAGGCUCAAAACCAACUGUUUCACAGUGCCAGCUAAACAAAUGGCUGCGCUUCCGUGUUACAGGCAAAGUAUCCAUACACAGGCCCAGGUUUACGAUCUUCCACAAAGUACAGAGCCCAGCCUACGUCACGCCUGUAGAGGCGCCUAUAGAUACCCACGUGUCCCUCGUCCAAACGCUAUAGAUAUAGCCGAUCCACGAGUUCAAUGUUUUCCCUUUUGACAGCUGUCAAACAGUCCAACCCUUAGCGACCAGUAGAGCACGUGGCCACUUGAAAAAAUCACGAAAUACGCCAAAACAGGACAUUAAGGCUCAAAACCAUCUGUUUCACAGUGCCAGCUAAACAAAUGGCUGCGCUUCCGUGUUACAGCCAAAGUAUCCAUACACAGGCCCAGGUUUACGAUCUUCCACAAAGUACAGAGCCCAGCCUACGUCACGCCUGUAGAGGCGCCUAUAGAUACCCACGUGUCCCUCGUCCAAACGCUAUAGAUAUAGCCGAUCCACGAGUUCAAUGUUUUCCCUUUUGACAGCUGUCAAACAGUCCAACCCUUAGCGACCAGUAGAGCACGUGGCCACUUGAAAAAAUCACGAAAUACGCCAAAACAGGACAUUAAGGCUCAAAACCAUCUGUUUCACAGUGCCAGCUAAACAAAUGGCUGCGCUUCCGUGUUACAGCCAAAGUAUCCAUACACAGGCCCAGGUUUACGAUCUUCCACAAAGUACAGAGCCCAGCCUACGUCACGCCUGUAGAGGCGCCUAUAGAUACCCACGUGUCCCUCGUCCAAACGCUAUAGAUAUAGCCGAUCCACGAGUUCAAUGUUUUCCCUUUUGACAGCUGUCAAACAGUCCAACCCUUAGCGACCAGUAGAGCACGUGGCCACUUAAAAAAAUCACGAAAUACGCUAAAACAGACAAACCAAAUAGCGUAAAACUAACCCGCGUGUAUACCUUGCAAAAAAAAAUAUCAUGCGGACCCACGUGCGAUUUGCCAAUCACUGCAUUGUUUACCAGCUGUCAAAAAAAAAGGCACAUUAAAUUCAUAGACUACAAAACACCGCCCUAAAAAAUUAACACGGCAAUUGGUAUCCGUGACGAUUUUUAAUUAUUUGCUAUAAAAACAUCCAAAGUUAAAUAAUUGAUUGAUAAAUACGAAUAAAAAAAUUAACAAGCAUCGCCCCCCCCCCCACAUUAUGCUUUGUAAACAAACUCAACAUAUGACAGUACAAACGUGUCGUGUGUCUAUCUACAGUUGGUAGUGAUACGUACAUGUACUUUGUCCGAGUGUACAGUGAUACCAACAGUUGUCGUUCCCCUAAUAGCCCCCCUCCUUCCCCCCCGCCCCGUACAAAUGGGCUCCGAUAUCACGAGAAACAAGAAAGUAUCGCAAUCUGUCACUCUCAAGUUUCUACGGCAGACGAUACACGCCUUGGUAUAUACUUCGCUUGGUUACGAGGGAGGGCGUCGCGACGCCGUUAACGUCAUCGGCUAAUUGGCCGUUACUACCCAAUUACGCGGUCUGCUCGGUAAACGAUUCGCCGCAGGUAUUACGCAUCUGGGAAAAUUCGUUUCGCGUGUCCCGAGGUGUCGGCCAUCUUUGCGAAUAGUCCGGGGGGUGGGAUUCAUAGUGAUUUCUGUAUUCGGUUCCAAGUCCACUCAACAUAUACAGACAGUAUCGAUAAGAAAAACAGUGAUUAAGAAUAAAAAAAGGAACGAAAGGUAUAUAGGCAAAUUAAUUUUUGCUUACAGAUGAUUCAUUGAUUUCUUUUUUCCUGAAUCCGGAUGGGUCUCGACGUAAACACGAAACUUUACCUGGUACGAGCGUUGGACGAAGAGAGACUGACGAUUAAUUCGAGUAUAAAAACAAUGCGUUUUUAUAGGAAACUUUGGCUAGGAUAUUUACGUACGUUUUAACAUGUAAUAUUCCGAGUGAGGUUAUGUAUGCUCGGCUUGUGCUUUUAUUUAUCAGCCUGACCCAGACGCGCCUUUACUUCCUGUAUUGACAUUGUCAGGGGGCGACCGAAUUGAAAAGGAUUAUCGAUCGUAAAUCGAGCCUGGGAAUACUUCCGGAUAACACGAGCCACGUAAAAGCAGACUGACGGUUACAGGCGUCAAUUGCAAAAUAAAAAAAUGAAUCGCGUGUAUUAUUGUACGAGAAAAAAGAAGCAGACUCGCUGUAAAGGUAACGCAGAAGUACUUUGGCUCAAACCAGUUUUAUCCUGUAUGACUUCGUCUCCAUGGCAACGAAAUAACAGUGACAGCUGCAACUAGUGGGUACGAGUGCAAACUGUUAGCCGCUCGAGUUUUAGCUGGUGUCGCGUGGAUAAUAGUUCUAAGACUUUUAACCAGCCGAUCCGAAAUGUUUAAUAAGAAGUACAUUCAAGGGGGUGCGCUUGAAAAGUGGCGGGAACAAAAGCAGGAUUCAAACAGUGUGUUUGAAGUAACGUCGUGGCGACUUCGCUCUCGACUCGAGAACCAGAUCGAACGACAGAAAUGGAGGAGGCGACCGGUCGUUAACGCUGAGCACUGGUAUGCCUGACCAAACCAUAGGCAGGUUUGUUCGCGCGCAUAGAAACGGGUGUUUAUUAAUUCCAGGGUAAAAGGAGUACGAGCGAAAGGAGUGUUACGUGGUGAGUCGUAAUAGCGGAGAACUGAUAGUUCCAACGAGUGAAUCGAGCUUGACGGGUCUGGGAAGAAUGUUUCAUUCUGGAGGAUGCCCAUCGUAAUUUUUUUUUUUACUUAAAAAACUGACAGACACUGUACUAGUUUUUGACUGUUAUUUUGGUUACGUCUAUUGUAUACCAUUUUUUUACGACUACGCAAGAGUCCGACAAAUAAGAAAGUGUAAGCAAAUAUUAAUUUACGCAAAUGCUUUAGAAACUGUCGACCGUAGAAAAGGAGGACGUUUGGAGAAAACGUGAAAAAUGGAAAAAUCCUCAGGGUCUGCCAUCCGGACCACGAUAAAGGGUAAAAAAGAGGACUGGAAUUUUUUGAAGCUUGUCUCACGUAAGACGCGUGCCGAAGAGAGAUACCGGAAUUCGAACGUCCUGGACGCCCCUGUACUACCGUAGCUGUCUUUAACGGCGAUGAAGAUUAUUCAGACAGAAAGAAAAAGGGGGAGAGAAAGAGAAAGAAAAAAAUUUGUUCUCUCGUGCGGAACCCGUCAGAGAUAACAGAGCCGGUACGAAGACUGUAGAUUCUUUGAGAAAUAAAAAUGCCGAAGGAGACCGUAAUCCUUUGGGAUAGUCCUCAUCGCGGCGACGUAGUAAAACCUGAGCGGACGGAGACAAUGAAGAUGGAAGAAGGGAGUAUGAAAAAUAUUUAUAAAAAAAAAAAAAAAAAAAAAAAAAAAAAAAAAAAAAAAAAAAAAAA
Cephus cinctus (wheat stem sawfly) is the source of this 5337-nucleotide long non-coding RNA. RefSeq lists it as uncharacterized. The record is from RefSeq and is a predicted model, not a curated record. Lineage: Eukaryota; Metazoa; Arthropoda; Insecta; Hymenoptera; Cephidae. The transcript has 3 exons.